CCUACGGGGGGCUGCAGUGAGGAAUAUUGGUCAAUGGACGAGAGUCUGAACCAGCCAAGUAGCGUGAAGGAUGACUGCCCUAUGGGUUGUAAACUUCUUUUAUAUGGGAAUAAAAUGUUCCACGUGUGGGAUUUUGUAUGUACCAUAUGAAUAAGGAUCGGCUAACUCCGUGCCAGCAGCCGCGGUAAUACGGAGAAUCCGAGCGUUAUCCGGAUUUAUUGGGUUUAAAGGGAGCGUAGGUGGAUUGUUAAGUCAGUUGUGAAAGUUUGCGGCUCAACCGUAAAAUUGCAGUUGAAACUGGCAGUCUUGAGUACAGUAGAGGUGGGCGGAAUUCGUGGUGUAGCGGUGAAAUGCUUAGAUAUCACGAAGAACUCCGAUUGCGAAGGCAGUUCACUGGACUGCAACUGACACUGAGGCUCGAAAGUGUGGGUAUCAAACAGGAUUAGAUACCCGAGUAGUC
This 460-nucleotide ribosomal RNA is filed under the name uncultured bacterium. RNAcentral describes it as "partial 16S ribosomal RNA". It matches the Rfam family "Bacterial small subunit ribosomal RNA", at positions 338 to 795 of the family's 1533-position model. The record is from RNAcentral.